This 232-nucleotide unclassified non-coding RNA is filed under the name Hevea brasiliensis (rubber tree). The record is from RNAcentral. Lineage: Eukaryota; Viridiplantae; Streptophyta; Magnoliopsida; Malpighiales; Euphorbiaceae.
UUUUUUUUUUGUAGAAAACAAAAACCAUCCUUGGUAAACGUAAAAUUGUUGGGAACCAAUAAUUUCGAGUCCUGUCAUUAAUACAAUAAACAACAUUUACAUUAUUGGUUUCCUCCAACCAAACCAACAUCGUAAAGGCGAUGUGAAACGAACUACUCAUAUUAAAGCAUCCAACAUAACUCACAACUUCAAUAAUUAUAAUAACAGCAUAUAAGCUACUCACAUGCCAGUU